Small nucleolar RNA from Ictidomys tridecemlineatus (thirteen-lined ground squirrel), 214 nucleotides. Its record names the gene U3. It matches the Rfam family "Small nucleolar RNA U3". Rfam says of the family: Small nucleolar RNAs (snoRNAs) are involved in the processing and modification of rRNA in the nucleolus. There are two main classes of snoRNAs: the box C/D class, and the box H/ACA class. The record is from Ensembl. NCBI's taxonomy places the organism in Eukaryota, Metazoa, Chordata, Mammalia, Rodentia, Sciuridae.
AAGACUAUAUUUUCAGGGGUCAUUUCUACAGUAGGUUACUAGAGAAGUUUCUCUGAUCAUGUCAAGUACCAGAAACCACGAGGAGGAGGUGAGUGUUCUCUCCUGAGCAUGAAGUUGGUCCUAGCUAUUGCAUUUCUACAACUGCCUUUUGCCAUUGAUGAUCGUUCUUAAUUCUCUUUAGAGAUUAAGAGGGAGAGAACACAGUCUGAGUGGU